RNAcentral lists this ribosomal RNA (497 nucleotides) under uncultured bacterium. RNAcentral describes it as "partial 16S ribosomal RNA". It matches the Rfam family "Bacterial small subunit ribosomal RNA", at positions 28 to 507 of the family's 1533-position model. The record is from RNAcentral.
GAUGAACGCUGGCGGCGUGCCUAACACAUGCAAGUCGAGCGAAAGCACGAGGAGCUUGGUUCCCCGAUGUUAGCGGCGGACGGGACCGUACCUUGUGGUUAAAAUAACUAUACGAAUGGGAUCCUAUUGGGAAAUAAUAUCUACUACCGGAAAAUUUUUUGCCUCGCUUGGUUCAAACGUUGAAGUAGCUCUUGCUGUCACUUAUAGAUUACUACGCGCUGCAUUCGUUAGUUGGCAAGGUAACGGCUUAUCAAGGCAACGAGGCAUAGCCGACCUGAGAGCGACAAUGCCCAGACGGGAACUGAGGCACGUCCCAGACUCCUACAGGAGGCAGCAGCAGGGAAUCUUCCGCAAGGGGCGAAAGCCGGACAGUGCAACGCCGCGUGAAGGAUGAAGCACUACGGAUCGGAAAACGCUGAUGUUAGUGAAGAAGAUAUGCUUAUGUAACUGGGCAGAUCAUGACGGUACCGAAACAAUAAGCCACGGCUAACUACGUG